Pelobates cultripes (western spadefoot toad) is the source of this 411-nucleotide non-coding RNA. The record is from the annotation of a GenBank genome assembly. Lineage: Eukaryota; Metazoa; Chordata; Amphibia; Anura; Pelobatidae.
GUGAACACAUGUCAGUAUUCAGUAAAGAGAGACAAUGGGUUAAACUUUAACUGUUCUAACUGACAGCAUAAAGGUGUAUGCAUUUUAGGUUAAGGCAUGCAACUGAUAACUUCAACAGAGGUAUAAUGCUAUCAUACACAUAGGUUGCAGGCUAUUCAUGUGUGUCUGAUUAUGUAGAACAACAGAGUCCACUUUGAGUUAUCUAGACAUGUGGGUGCGUAAGUGAACAUAGGGUUAACAACAUGCUUUGGGGAUGUGAGGUGAGUGUAAAUAGUGUGAGACAUAAGGUCACACGAGUAUAUCUUACUAGGUAGAGUGGCCGCUGGAGGGCAUUUUAAACUUUGCGGCAUGGUACAGUAUCAAGGUAAAAUGAUGGCCAUCAAUAUCAUGGAGGAUUCAGAGUUAGGCAAC